RNAcentral lists this long non-coding RNA (2105 nucleotides) under Homo sapiens (human). Its description in RNAcentral is "long non-coding RNA NONHSAT192018.1". The record is from RNAcentral. Lineage: Eukaryota; Metazoa; Chordata; Mammalia; Primates; Hominidae.
ACCUCGCGACCUGUGUCAGCAGAGCCGCCCUGCACCACCAUGUGCAUCAUCUUCUUUAAGUUUGAUCCUCGCCCUGUUUCCAAAAACGCGUACAGGUAACCCCCUCGCUCUGCAUCUGCUGCGCCCUGCAGGGUCCUGGGUGCCCAGCCAGUUCUCAUGCCACCCAAGCUGCUGUGUGCAGGAAGGUGUGUGGGCCAGGACGGGGCUGCACAGGCCUGGCACUGCCCUCCAGGACAGGGUCACUCAGUGUGGGAUGCUGUCAGAAUGCCUCUCGGGGCGGGGACUCCAGUCAAUGUACAAAGACGUGAAGACUCAGCCACAGAAGGCAGCCACAGGCUCAUCUUGGCAGCCAACAGGGAUGAAUUCUACAGCCGACCCUCCAAGUUAGCUGACUUCUGGGGGAACAACAACGAGAUCCUCAGUGGGCUGGACAUGGAGGAAGGCAAGGAAGGAGGCACAUGGCUGGGCAUCAGCACACGUGGCAAGCUGGCAGCACUCACCAACUACCUGCAGCCGCAGCUGGACUGGCAGGCCCGAGGGCGAGCACAGCAAAGGGAGACGUCAUUUGCUACUAUGGGAACCGAGGGGAGCCUGAUCCUAUCGUUUUGACGCCAGGCAGCUGCCAGACCCGGCCAUCGAGGACCAGGGUGGGGAGUACGUGCAGCCCAUGCUGAGCAAGUACGCGGCUGUGUGCGUGCGCUGCCCUGGCUACGGCACCAGAACCAACACUAUCAUCCUGGUAGAUGCGGACGGCCACGUGACCUUCACUGAGCGUAGCAUGAUGGACAAGGACCUCUCCCACUGGGAGACCAGAACCUAUGAGUUCACACUGCAGAGCUAACCCCACCUCUGGGCCUGGCCAGUGGGCUCCUGGGGGGCCCUGCCUUGAGGGGCACUGUGGACAGGAAACCUUCCUUUGCCAUACUGCAUUGCACUGCCCGUGGCUUGGCCAGCAUCCCCCGGAUCAGGGCCCUGUGGUUUGCGUGUUACCCAUCUGUGUCCCCAUGCCCAGUUCAGGGUCUGCCUUUAUGCCAGUGAGGAGCAGCAGAGUCUGAUACUAGGUCUAGGACCGGCCGAGGUAUACCAUGAACAUGUGGAUACACCUGAGCCCACUCUUGCACAUGUACACAGGCACUCACAUGGCACACACAUACACUCCUGCGUGUGCACAAGCACACACAUGCAAGCCAUAUACAUGGACACCGACACAGGCACAUGUACGUGCACAGGUGUGCUACACAUGUGCACACAUGCACAGUUGCACAGACACACACACACAGGUGCACACACACGAUGCCGAACAAGGCAGAAGGGCGACUCUCACCUCUCAUGUGCUUCUGGCCAGUAGGUCUUUGUUCUGGUCCAACGACAGGAGUAGGCUUGUAUUUAAAAGCGGCCCCUCCUCUCCUGUGGCCACAGAACACAGGCGUGCUUGGACUCUUGACAAGCAGACCUGCUCCUGCAGAGGAGACAGCCACAUUUGGAAUUGGGCACCGAGAAGACCUGAGAAAAACCCACUCUCUCUUUUUUUUUUUUUUGAGACGGAGUCUUGCUCUGUCACCCAGGCUGGAGUGCAGUGGCACGAUCUCGGCUCACUGCAACCUCCGCCUCCCAAGUUCAAGCAAUUCUCCUGCCCCAGCCUCCUGAUUAGCUGGGAUUACAGGCGUGUGCCACCAUGCCCAGCUAAUUUUUGUGUUUUUAGUAGAGACGGGGUUUCACCAUGUUGGUCAGGCUGGUCUUGAACUCCUGACGUGGUGAUCCACCUGCCUCGGCCUCCCAAAGUGCUGGGAUUACAGGCGUGAGCCACCACGCCUGGCCGAAAAACCCACUCUCAUAACAGAAGUGCAGACUCAUUGCUAGAUUCAGUGCCCUUGAGUGUGCCAGAGGUCCUCUGUGUUUGAGACAAUCCUGUGUGUGCCAGGAGGCUCCGUGUGCACCAGGGGCUCUCAGAAUCCCGCUUACCCAGCUGGAGACCAUGCCUCUGGCAGCCCCAUCUCAGCCAGCCCUGCUCUCUCCCUCUUCCCUCCAGGUGAGGCAAACUUCAUAGGAAUCUGUACCUGAAUGUGAGCUCCUGAUAAUAAAACUCUGAGGCUUUGGUGAGCGCA